CCUACGGGUGGCAGCAGUGAGGAAUAUUGGUCAAUGGACGAGAGUCUGAACCAGCCAAGUAGCGUGAAGGAUGACUGCCCUAUGGGUUGUAAACUUCUUUUAUAUGGGAAUAAAAUGUUCCACGUGUGGGAUUUUGUAUGUACCAUAUGAAUAAGGAUCGGCUAACUCCGUGCCAGCAGCCGCGGUAAUACGGAGGAUCCGAGCGUUAUCCGGAUUUAUUGGGUUUAAAGGGAGCGUAGGUGGAUUGUUAAGUCAGUUGUGAAAGUUUGGGGCUCAACCGUAACAUUGCAGUUGAAACUGGCAGUCUUGAGUACAGUAGAGGUGGGCGGAAUUCGUGGUGUAGCGGUGAAAUGCUUAGAUAUCACGAAGAACCCCGAUUGCGAAGGCAGUUCACUGGACUGCAACUGACACUGAGGCUCGAAAGUGUGGGUAUCAAACAGGAUUAGAUACCCCUGUAGUC
Molecule: ribosomal RNA, 460 nt
Filed under: uncultured bacterium
Lineage: Bacteria
Description: partial 16S ribosomal RNA
Rfam family: Bacterial small subunit ribosomal RNA
Source: RNAcentral